Molecule: small nucleolar RNA, 79 nt
Filed under: Monopterus albus (swamp eel)
Lineage: Eukaryota; Metazoa; Chordata; Actinopteri; Synbranchiformes; Synbranchidae
Description: Small nucleolar RNA SNORD60 (ENSMALG00000002522.1)
Source: RNAcentral
AGCCACUGAUGACAAGCAACAUUUUUCUGCCGCCUCUUAUGAGACCUAAGCUCCUGAUUCAAACUGAGAUCUGAGACUC